Pelobates cultripes (western spadefoot toad) is the source of this 1416-nucleotide non-coding RNA. Lineage: Eukaryota; Metazoa; Chordata; Amphibia; Anura; Pelobatidae. The record is from the annotation of a GenBank genome assembly.
AUAUAAAUAUCUCAACAGUUAAACAAUAUUGACAAAUUAAGUUUUAGUGAGAAUCACUGAUUUAUUUGUUAGAAAACAGGUUGUAUGAGAACCAUUGAUUUAGCUGUUCAAAUAAACAAAUUCUUUAUUUGUUAUGACAUUAAACAUUCUGGAGUCCACAAUUACUGACUAGAAAUUAUUCUGUUUUUACCAAAAAAUACAUUGGUGAGGACACCAUUAACUAGUUUAUGAUCAAUAUUGCACUUAUCCAAGAUUAAAUUAUAUUUUUAAGAUAUUACUUGCAAAUGUUCUAUAUGAGAUGACUGUGAUCCUCUAAUAGGGUUUCCUGGUGUUACGGCUUGCAGAUAGAACAUCAAUCAAUUCGAAAUUUGUCUUAAAGGUUCCCUAGUCAGGUUUAAUAACACCUUUAUGAAAUAAUCUCUAUUGUGUAGCUACAAAAAUUACAAAUGAAUUUCAAUGUAAUAUUCUCAGCAUUACCUCUAUUAAGAAACUUGUCAUUUGGCAGAGGCAGUCGGAGAAUUGGAUUUGGAGUUAUCAGUGUACUCCCUUAUUAUAUUUCAUUGGAUUUGGUAAGCAUCACAUAUAUCUUAUAGGGUUAUUGGGCAUAUAUCCAAGGCCAGAGUUUCUUCAUUCAGAAGACUCCAAAUCGGAGUGGUGUAAUACCUGUAACAUACUGUACUUGUACUGGUCACGUAUCAGAAAAAUGUCUAUAUUUUCUGAUGUCCAAAUGUAGAACUACAGUAAAUAUUUAGUAAAUAAUAUUUGAACAGUUAUUGCUAUCCUGAUAGGUUAGGUAGCUGUUUAACAAACAUAACCUUAUGUUAUCCGUCAACGGACAAUGUGUUUGCCAAUUAAUACUUUUUUUAGAUUUAGUGGUGAACUUUAUGUCCUUACUAAAUGUUAGAUUAUCAAAUUGUGUUAUUGGCGAUAUUUGACUUGUAUGAAACACAGUGAAACGAUUCCUACUUUAGCAAGGGCGCUAAAAGAAUUAAUAUAAGAGAAAAAACUUUAUCCAACAUUUUUGGAUAAAUACUCGUGUAGAUUUCUUUGCUUUCACAAGAGCAGUAACAUUGUAUACAGGUUUCAGUACGGUUGUCGGUUUUCUGUACUACAGUUGUUCUAACCACGCAGAAUAUUGUGUUGCUUUGACCUAAGCCUUGUUGCUAGGUAACAACAUAUACAAUUUUGUAUUUCUGUUUAAUCUCAUGUGCUACAAAUGGAAAUUAUACAGGUUUUGUGAUAUGGCUGUAGCUAAUUGCUCUUGUUGCAUUCUGCUCUGGUUUUUAUACCAGAAGCAUGUAUUUUCUACAAAAGCGUCAUGCUGUAAAUAAUAAAAACAAAUGUUAAUAUAUUGUGUUGAUAUUUGAAAGAAAAAGUACUUUGAAUAUUCCAUUUUUAAAAAAAUAAAGUUCUAAA